Molecule: unclassified non-coding RNA, 242 nt
Filed under: uncultured Gemmatimonadaceae bacterium
Lineage: Bacteria; Pseudomonadati; Gemmatimonadota; Gemmatimonadia; Gemmatimonadales; Gemmatimonadaceae
Description: contains 16S-23S intergenic spacer region
Source: RNAcentral
UCCCCGUUCUCCUGGGCCGAUGUUUCCACCGGCUUUCCCGUGCAUGUCAAGCCCAGGUAAGGUUCUUCGCGUUGCUUCGAAUUAAACCACAUGCUCCACCGCUUGUGCGGGCCCCCGUCAAUUCCUUUGAGUUUCAGCCUUGCGGCCGUACUCCCCAGGCGGGGCACUUACUGCGUUAGCGACGGCACCGGGAGGGUCGCUCCCCCCGACGCCUAGUGCCCAUCGUUUACGGCGUGGACUAC